UUUGUCUUUAUUUUUAGGAAAUAGAGCCGGCCAGCAGCAGUCAAGGUGAAGCGGGCAAGGCGGUCCAGUCGCGUUUCGUCGAGACCCCGUCAACCAGCCGGCCGGCACGCCUGCUUCGCCGCUCCCGUGAGCCCUGCGGAAGCGUUACAGGGACCGCGUGACGGAGCCUUUUCCACGUAAAGGGGCCGUGGGGGUGGCCUUCAGGAACGGGCCGAGGGCUUCCCGCGCGCCCUGCGACGACGGUGUCUGGUCCCGGCGUGGCCGUAUCGUGGGGCCUCAGGACACGGCCGUUCGCAGGACACCCUGACGGAGAGACGACAGCCUGGCGAUGGCAGGAACUUCCCGGAUAGCCAGGCGGCCUUCCUUGGCGCUUCGUGUGGAUCCUCUCCAGCGGGCAUGCGAGAGCUGAGUCGAAGGCUACGACCCGCGGAGGGGAUGAAAGCGGGGUGCCGGGACGGGACAUGUGACCUGGGAUUUUUGAGUCAGCUUUGGGGACGGGGAGGUCCAGGCUGUGGCCCCUUAGGCCGCAGGGUGGGAGAGCCUCACUUUUGUUCACAGUGCUGAGGUGUGCAGGACAGAGCAGCCUCGGGGCGCGUCGUGUCACUUGUCCGUCGUGCCUUCUGUGUCUUUUGUGCCUCUUGUUGUUGUACGUGCCUUGCCCUAUCUCUUCUGGGGGCUUACCAGAAACCCCAGCAUCACUUAUAGCAUCUCCAAUCUCUGGGCUCCUCGGCUCGGCAGCUCUCAGAGGCCUUGGAAUCGCGUCUCUUUUGACAAGCAUCCGAUCGGAUGUCUUUUAGACGUCUUGUUCCGAGCUGUGUCAACAGCCGUGCGCC
RNAcentral lists this long non-coding RNA (833 nucleotides) under Cyanistes caeruleus (blue tit). RNAcentral describes it as "lncRNA (ENSCCEG00000006822.1)". The record is from RNAcentral. Lineage: Eukaryota; Metazoa; Chordata; Aves; Passeriformes; Paridae.